RNAcentral lists this transfer RNA (64 nucleotides) under Staphylinidae sp. BMNH 1274252. RNAcentral describes it as "tRNA-Thr". The record is from RNAcentral. Lineage: Eukaryota; Metazoa; Arthropoda; Insecta; Coleoptera; Staphylinidae.
GUUUUAAUAAUUUAAUAAAAAAUUUUGAUCUUGUAAAUCAAAUUUAGGAUAAACCUUUAAAACU